This 502-nucleotide ribosomal RNA is filed under the name Hyperolius cinereus (ashy reed frog). RNAcentral's name for it is "partial 16S ribosomal RNA". It matches the Rfam family "Bacterial large subunit ribosomal RNA", at positions 1923 to 2591 of the family's 2925-position model. Lineage: Eukaryota; Metazoa; Chordata; Amphibia; Anura; Hyperoliidae. The record is from RNAcentral.
UUUAACGGCCGCGGUAUCUUAACCGUGCAAAGGUAGCAUAAUCAAUUGUCCUUUAAAUUAGGACUAGUAUGAACGGCAUCACGAGGGUUUAACUGUCUCCCCCUUUUAAUCAAUGAAACUAAUUUUCCCGUGAAGAAGCGGGAAUGUAAUUAUAAGACGAGAAGACCCCAUGGAGCUUUAAACUUAACAUCACUUAUUAAAUAAUAAAACACACCACAUAAUAAGAGUGCUUUAUAGUUUUUGGUUGGGGCGACCCUGGAGAAUAACAAAUCCUCCAGAUUGAAAUGAAUAACUAACCUUAUACAAGAACCACAAUUCAAACAAACAAAAAUUUGACAAUACUGACCCAGAAUAAACUGACCAGUGAACCAAGUUACCCUGGGGAUAACAGCGCAAUCCAUUUUAAGAGCCCUUAUCGACAAAUGGGUUUACGACCUCGAUGUUGGAUCAGGAUAUCCAAGCAGCGCAGCCGUUGCUAGUGGUUCGUUUGUUCAACGAUUAA